Molecule: ribosomal RNA, 375 nt
Filed under: uncultured bacterium
Lineage: Bacteria
Description: bacterial SSU rRNA
Rfam family: Bacterial small subunit ribosomal RNA
Source: RNAcentral
UAAUACGAAGGGGGCUAGCGUUGUUCGGAAUCACUGGGCGUAAAGCGCACGCAGGCGGAUUGAUAAGUCAGGGGUGAAAUCCCGGGGCUCAACCUCGGAAUUGCCUUUGAUACUGUCUGUCUUGAGUCCGGGAGAGGUGAGUGGAAUUCCUAGUGUAGAGGUGAAAUUCGUAGAUAUUAGGAAGAACACCAGUGGCGAAGGCGGCUCACUGGCCCGGUACUGACGCUCAUGUGCGAAAGCGUGGGGAGCAAACAGGAUUAGAUACCCUGGUAGUCCACGCCGUAAACGAUGGAUGCUAGCCGUUGGGCAGCUUGCUGCUCGGUGGCGCAGCUAACGUAUUAAGCAUCCCGCCUGGGGAGUACGGUCGCAAGAUUA